Zea mays is the source of this 1337-nucleotide RNA transcript. RefSeq lists it as uncharacterized. The transcript has 7 exons. The record is from RefSeq and is marked validated. Lineage: Eukaryota; Viridiplantae; Streptophyta; Magnoliopsida; Poales; Poaceae.
GAAAGAAGUAUGAAUAAAACAAAAUUUGAAGACGCCUAACAGCCCGACUGCUUCGUUUCCACGCGCACGAAACCCUAGACUAGAUAAAAAGUUCCCAUUUCCCUCAAUUCCCCAACUUCCCUCGCCGCAAUCUCUCGCCGCCUCCAGUCCAGAGCCACCGUGAGAUCUGCCCGAUUCCGCCGCCCGGACCCGGGGACUCCCUCCCCUCCUCGAUCCGUUCGGGCGGCCGGCCGGCCUAGCUUCAAGUGCGGGGAUGGUGUUCUACUUCAAGGCGCGGCCCGAGGCCGGCGACUAUACCAUCUUCAUGGGUCUUGACAAGUACGAGAACGAGGACCUCAUCAAAUACGGCUUCCCCGAGGACAUCUGGUUCCAUGUAGAUAAGAUGUCCUCUGCACAUGUGUAUGUGAGAUUGAAUAAAGGUCAAUCAAUGGAUGACAUGAGUGAGGGUUUGCUGGAAGACUGUGCGCAGCUUGUCAAAGCUAAUUCCAUUCAAGGUAAUAAAGUCAAUAACAUUGAUGUAGUUUAUACUCCAUGGUACAAUUUGAAGAAGACCCCUUCAAUGGAUGUAGGCCAAGUUGGUUUUCACAACCCUAAAUUGCUGCAGAAGGACGAGCUUGAGUUGCAGUGCACCACCAUGCUGCUCCCUGUGCACAACCAUAGCUCCUGUGCGCUGCCAGGAGUACAAGCCCUGGCUAUCGUUCUCCUACUUGUACAACCUAUGCAAUCGCGGUUCGCACUAUUAAAGUGGAAAAGAGGAUCAAUGAGAUUGUGAACCGCUUGAAUAAGACAAAGGUGGAACGGAAACCUGAUUUAAAGGCUGAAAGAGAGGCUAUUAGUGCUGCUGAAAAGGCAGAAAGAAAGGCACAGCUUAGAGACAAGAAACGUAGGGAAGAGAUGGAGAGGCUUGAGAAAGAGAAGCAGGCUGAUAUCAGGAGCUACAAGGGUCUAAUGGUCCAAGAGAAGAUGACUUCCAACAAGCAAAUCGCUUCUGGCAGCAAGACCCUGCAGGAACUUGAAGAAGACUUUAUGUGAGAGGCGGACAUUAUAAAUGCCAUGCUGAAGAUUUCCUUGAACUGCUUCUGUCGAAGACAGAAGGGGUACCACAGGCUUGUGAGAUACUGGAUGACUCAUGGGCAGGCCAUGGUCUGUUAUUAUCUCCUCUUGCUGUUGUGGUCUAUGUAAACCUUGUUUACUUGCUGAAAAAACAACGGUGCAUGCUCUAACUGUGGUUGAUGUAAUGGUCUGUUGCCCAUCAAGUUGAAAUGGUAAUGGAAUUAUGGUUUCCUGGAUUUUUUUCAAACAAUAAAGACAUGGCAGCAGAUAACUUACAUAUUCCA